GGCCCAAUGCCUUACUAGAUAAGGCACCAAUCUCCAAAAGUGGAUACUGUGGGUUCAGGUCCCACCUGGGUCA
Molecule: transfer RNA, 73 nt
Filed under: Alligator mississippiensis (American alligator)
Lineage: Eukaryota; Metazoa; Chordata; Crocodylia; Alligatoridae
Also listed under: 1 other name
Rfam family: tRNA
About the family: Transfer RNA (tRNA) molecules are approximately 80 nucleotides in length. Their secondary structure includes four short double-helical elements and three loops (D, anti-codon, and T loops).
Source: Rfam by way of RNAcentral